This 415-nucleotide ribosomal RNA is filed under the name Hydraena sp. MNCN AH139. Its description in RNAcentral is "partial 16S ribosomal RNA". It matches the Rfam family "Bacterial large subunit ribosomal RNA", at positions 1842 to 2759 of the family's 2925-position model. The record is from RNAcentral. Lineage: Eukaryota; Metazoa; Arthropoda; Insecta; Coleoptera; Hydraenidae.
AAUUUAAGGUCUGACCUGCCCACUGAGAUUUUAAAUGGCCGCAGUAUUUUGACUGUGCAAAAGUAGCAUAAUCAUUAGUUUCUUAAUUAGAAGCUUGUAUGAAUGGUUGGACGAGAAACUAACUGUCUCAUUUUGUAAGUUAAAAUUUUAUUUUUUAGUUAAAAAGCUUAAAUAAAUUUAAAAGACGAGAAAUUUUUUUUUAGAGUUCAAAUCGAAAAAAAAGUUUGCGACCUCGAUGUUGGAUUAAAGUUAAUUUUUGGUGUAGAAGCUAGAAUAUUGGGUCUGUUCGACCUUUAAAACUUUACAUGAUCUGAGUUUAAACCGGUGUAAGCCAGGUUGGUUUCUAUCUUUAAAUAAAAUUAAUAUUUUAGUACGAAAGGAUCAAAUAUUAUUAAAAUUUAAUUUUAAUUGAAUA